UGCCUCAGUAACGGCGAGUGAAGCGGCAAAAGCUCAAAUUUGAAAUCUCCGCAAGGCGAGUUGUAAUUUGAAGAAGGCGACUUUGGAAUGGGCCCUUGUCUAUGUUCCUUGGAACAGGACGUCACAGAGGGUGAGAAUCCCGUGCGAUGGGGUGUCCCGUUCCGUGUAAAGUGCUUUCGACGAGUCGAGUUGUUUGGGAAUGCAGCUCUAAGUGGGUGGUAAAUUCCAUCUAAAGCUAAAUAUUGGCGAGAGACCGAUAGCGAACAAGUACAGUGAUGGAAAGAUGAAAAGCACUUUGAAAAGAGAGUGAAAAAGUACGUGAAAUUGUUGAAAGGGAAGGGCUUGAGAUCAGACUUGGUGACUCGUCACUGGGCCAGCAUCGGUUUCGGUGGCAGGACAAGACCGUGGGAACGUGGCUCUGCUUCGGCGGAGUGUUAUAGCCCGCGGAGAUACUGCCUACCGAGACCGAGGACUGCGGCAACUAGGAUGCUGGCAUAAUGAUCUUAAGCCGCCCGUCUUGAACCACGGACCA
RNAcentral lists this ribosomal RNA (532 nucleotides) under fungal sp. JG3-3. Its description in RNAcentral is "eukaryotic LSU rRNA". It matches the Rfam family "Eukaryotic large subunit ribosomal RNA", at positions 76 to 668 of the family's 3401-position model. The record is from RNAcentral. Lineage: Eukaryota; Fungi.